Cyprinus carpio (common carp) is the source of this 166-nucleotide long non-coding RNA. RefSeq lists it as uncharacterized. NCBI's taxonomy places the organism in Eukaryota, Metazoa, Chordata, Actinopteri, Cypriniformes, Cyprinidae. The record is from RefSeq and is a predicted model, not a curated record. The transcript has 3 exons.
UUCUGUAUUUCUGAUUUUUUCAAGCCCUCAAAGAAAAGUAAAGUACAAACUCACAGGAUUGGAUAUUGGGGUCUUUCCUCAACAGACCAACAGCAUUGAUUGUGGAGUUUUCAUGCUCAUGUAUGCCCUUUACACUGUGCUGAACACUCCAUUCAAUUUUACUUCG